GAUGAACGCUGGCGGCGUGCCUAAUACAUGCAAGUCGAGCGAACGGACGAGAAGCUUGCUUCUCUGAUGUUAGCGGCGGACGGGUGAGUAACACGUGGAUAACCUACCUAUAAGACUGGGAUAACUUCGGGAAACCGGAGCUAAUACCGGAUAAUAUUUUGAACUGCAUGGUUCAAAAGUGAAAGACGGUCUUGCUGUCACUUAUAGAUGGAUCCGCGCUGCAUUAGCUAGUUGGUAAGGUAACGGCUUACCAAGGCAACGAUGCAUAGCCGACCUGAGGGGGUGAUCGGCCACACUGGAACUGAGACACGGUCCAGACUCCUACGGGAGGCAGCAGUAGGGAAUCUUCCGCAAUGGGCGAAAGCCUGACGGAGCAACGCCGCGUGAGUGAUGAAGGUCUUCGGAUCGUAAAACUCUGUUAUUAGGGAAGAACAUAUGUGUAAGUAACUGUGCACAUCUUGACGGUACCUAAUCAGAAAGCCACGGCUAACUACGUGCCAGCAGCCGCGGUAAUACGUAGGUGGCAAGCGUUAUCCGGAAUUAUUGGGCGUAAAGCGCGCGUAGGCGGUUUUUUAAGUCUGAUGUGAAAGCCCACGGCUCAACCGUGGAGGGUCAUUGGAAACUGGAAAACUUGAGUGCAGAAGAGGAAAGUGGAAUUCCAUGUGUAGCGGUGAAAUGCGCAGAGAUAUGGAGGAACACCAGUGGCGAAGGCGACUUUCUGGUCUGUAACUGACGCUGAUGUGCGAAAGCGUGGGGAUCAAACAGGAUUAGAUACCCUGGUAGUCCACGCCGUAAACGAUGAGUGCUAAGUGUUAGGGGGUUUCCGCCCCUUAGUGCUGCAGCUAACGCAUUAAGCACUCCGCCUGGGGAGUACGACCGCAAGGUUGAAACUCAAAGGAAUUGACGGGGACCCGCACAAGCGGUGGAGCAUGUGGUUUAAUUCGAAGCAACGCGAAGAACCUUACCAAAUCUUGACAUCCUUUGACAACUCUAGAGAUAGAGCUUUCCCCUUCGGGGGACAAAGUGACAGGUGGUGCAUGGUUGUCGUCAGCUCGUGUCGUGAGAUGUUGGGUUAAGUCCCGCAACGAGCGCAACCCUUAAGCUUAGUUGCCAUCAUUAAGUUGGGCACUCUAAGUUGACUGCCGGUGACAAACCGGAGGAAGGUGGGGAUGACGUCAAAUCAUCAUGCCCCUUAUGAUUUGGGCUACACACGUGCUACAAUGGACAAUACAAAGGGCAGCGAAACCGCGAGGUCAAGCAAAUCCCAUAAAGUUGUUCUCAGUUCGGAUUGUAGUCUGCAACUCGACUACAUGAAGCUGGAAUCGCUAGUAAUCGUAGAUCAGCAUGCUACGGUGAAUACGUUCCCGGGUCU
Molecule: ribosomal RNA, 1372 nt
Filed under: uncultured bacterium
Lineage: Bacteria
Description: bacterial SSU rRNA
Rfam family: Bacterial small subunit ribosomal RNA
Source: RNAcentral